CGGAGAGUUUGAUCCUGGCUCAGGAUGAAUGCUGGCGGCGUGCCUAACACAUGCAAGUCGAGCGGCAGCGAGUUUUACACUGAAUUCUGGAAGCUUCUGGGUAAUAUAGAAGAUCUAUUCAAGAAUUUUGUGUAAAAUGUCGGCGAGCGGCGGACGGCUGAGUAACGCGUAGGAAUUUGCCCCAAAGUGAGGAAUAACUGCCCGAAAGGGUAGCUAAUGCCGCAUAUGGUCUUCGGAUUAAAGUCUUCGGGCGCUUUGGGAGAAGCCUGCGUUGGAUUAGGUAGUUGGUAGGGUAAUGGCCUACCAAGCCGACGAUCCAUAGCUGGUCUGAGAGGAUGAUCAGCCAGACUGGAACUGAGACACGGUCCAGACUCCUACGGGAGGCAGCAGUGAGGAAUCUUCCACAAUGGGCGAAAGCCUGAUGGAGCAACGCCGCGUGAAGGAUGAAGGCCUUCGGGUUGUAAACUUCUUUUAUGAGUGAAGAAUAUGACGGUAACUCAUGAAUAAGCACCGGCUAACUACGUGCCAGCAGCCGCGGUCAUACGUAGGGUGCAAGCAUUAUCCGGAGUGACUGGGCGUAAAGAGUUGCGUAGGCGGUUUAAUAAGUGAAUAGUGAAACCUGGUGGCUCAACCAUACAGACUAUUAUUCAAACUGUUAAACUCGAGAAUGGUAGAGGUAACUGGAAUUUCUAGUGUAGGAGUGAAAUCCGUAGAUAUUAGAAGGAACACCGAUGGCGUAGGCAGGUUACUGGGCCAUUUCUGACGCUAAGGCACGAAAGCGUGGGGAGCGAACCGGAUUAGAUACCCGGGU
This 811-nucleotide ribosomal RNA is filed under the name Prevotella sp. Its description in RNAcentral is "bacterial SSU rRNA". It matches the Rfam family "Bacterial small subunit ribosomal RNA", at positions 1 to 791 of the family's 1533-position model. The record is from RNAcentral. Lineage: Bacteria; Pseudomonadati; Bacteroidota; Bacteroidia; Bacteroidales; Prevotellaceae.